Molecule: transfer RNA, 64 nt
Filed under: Ischnoptera deropeltiformis
Lineage: Eukaryota; Metazoa; Arthropoda; Insecta; Blattodea; Blattellidae
Description: tRNA-Thr
Source: RNAcentral
GUUUUAAUAAUUUAAAUAAAAUAUUGAUCUUGUAAAUCAAAAAUAAAGUAAGCUUUUUAAAACU